Long non-coding RNA from Mauremys reevesii (Reeves's turtle), 632 nucleotides. RefSeq lists it as uncharacterized. The transcript has 2 exons. The record is from RefSeq and is a predicted model, not a curated record. Lineage: Eukaryota; Metazoa; Chordata; Testudines; Geoemydidae.
GACAGAAUAAAAUCUGGAUCACCCGCUGCAACGGUUCUGCGGGAGGAGAGAGCAAACAGCUGUCAAUAUUGGUCCGUAGCAAACCAGAGCACCAGGGACCAGUGCCAUGUGAUCAGCCUGCCUGGACUCAAGGGCAGAAGCCUCUGUAGGCUCUGGACUGUAGCUUCAGUAUAAGUCCAUAUCCACAAGAUGUUCGCUUUUCCUUGGAUUUUGAAUGUGCAGGAAAACUUCCAUAAAUUCAGAACUCACUGAGAACCCACAAGUCUGUGACUUUGACAUUCAUAACUCAAAAAUCAUCAUAGAUGAGCCAUAAAACAUAUCUCCUGACCACACAUGGUCAUUAAGUAUUCCAUUGCUCUUUCCACCAGACUGAGUACUAACCCCAGUGUCUUCACCUAACUCCAGUUCUGGUGCCUUCCAUUUUGCCUUCCUAAACUUCCUCUGCAGGUUCAGCUGGAAACAGUAUCUUUACACACUUUCUGUUGUGUAGUGUUGCUGUUUGCUGUUAAACGGCUGUUGUCAACUGGAAGUGGCUAAUUUUCAGUGAAAGGUGAAGCAAUCUGAUCCUGUUUGUAUAAUUUGUAUAUCAACUUGUGUCUAAAGCACUUCUGGAUUAAAAAAUAGAUUUAGCA